UAGGGAAUCUUCCACAAUGGGCGAAAGCCUGAUGGAGCAACGCCGCGUGUGUGAUGAAGGCUUUCGGUCGUAAAGCACUGUUGUAUGGGAAGAACAGCUAGAAUAGGAAAUGAUUUUAGUUUGACGGUACCAUACCAGAAAGGGACGGCUAAAUACGUGCCAC
RNAcentral lists this ribosomal RNA (163 nucleotides) under uncultured bacterium. RNAcentral's name for it is "partial 16S rRNA". It matches the Rfam family "Bacterial small subunit ribosomal RNA", at positions 355 to 511 of the family's 1533-position model. The record is from RNAcentral.